CCUCCGGGUGGCAGCAGUGGGGAAUAUUGCACAAUGGGGGAAACCCUGAUGCAGCGACGCCGCGUGAGUGAAGAAGUAUUUCGGUACGUAAAGCUCUAUCAGCAGGGAAGAAAAUGACGGUACCUGACUAAGAAGCCCCGGCCAACUACGUGCCAGCAGCCGCGGUAAUACGUAGGGGGCAAGCGUUCUCCGGAUGUACUGGGUGUAAAGGGAGCGUAGACGGCAGCGCAAGUCUGGAGUGAAAUCCCAGGGCUUAACCAUGGAACUGCUUUGGAAACUGGGCAGCUAGAGUGCAGGAGAGGUAAGCGGAAUUCCUGGUGUAGCGGUGAAAUGCGUAGAGAUUAGGAGGAACACCAGUGGCGAAGGCGGCUUACUGGACUAUGACUGACGUUGAGGCUCGAAAGCGUGGGGAGCAAACAGGAUUAGAUACCCUUGUAGUC
RNAcentral lists this ribosomal RNA (440 nucleotides) under uncultured bacterium. RNAcentral describes it as "partial 16S ribosomal RNA". It matches the Rfam family "Bacterial small subunit ribosomal RNA", at positions 338 to 795 of the family's 1533-position model. The record is from RNAcentral.